Molecule: ribosomal RNA, 573 nt
Filed under: uncultured bacterium
Lineage: Bacteria
Description: bacterial SSU rRNA
Rfam family: Bacterial small subunit ribosomal RNA
Source: RNAcentral
ACUCCUACGGGAGGCAGCAGUGGGGAAUUUUCCGCAAUGGGCGCAAGCCUGACGGAGCAAGACCGCGUGAGGGAGGAAGGCUCUUGGGUUGUAAACCUCUUUUAUCAGGGAAGAAGAUCUGACGGUACCUGAUGAAUCAGCAUCGGCUAACUCCGUGCCAGCAGCCGCGGUAAUACGGAGGAUGCAAGCGUUAUCCGGAUUUAUUGGGCGUAAAGCGUCCGCAGGUGGUUUUUCAAGUCUGCUGUUAAAGCGCAGAGCUUAACUCUGUAACGGCGGUGGAAACUGAGAGACUAGAGUAUGGUAGGGGUUGCGGGAAUUCCCAGUGUAGCGGUGAAAUGCGUAGAUAUUGGGAAGAACACCAGCGGCGAAAGCGCGCAACUGGGCCAUUACUGACACUCAUGGACGAAAGCUAGGGGAGCGAAAGGGAUUAGAUACCCCUGUAGUCCUAGCUGUAAACGAUGGGUACUAGGUGUUGACCGUAUCGACCCGGUCAGUGCCGUAGCUAACGCGUUAAGUACCCCGCCUGGGGAGUAUGCACGCAAGUGUGAAACUCAAAGGAAUUGACGGGGGCCC